This 559-nucleotide ribosomal RNA is filed under the name uncultured Glomus. RNAcentral's name for it is "SSU rRNA". It matches the Rfam family "Eukaryotic small subunit ribosomal RNA", at positions 546 to 1106 of the family's 1831-position model. Lineage: Eukaryota; Fungi; Glomeromycota; Glomeromycetes; Glomerales; Glomeraceae. The record is from RNAcentral.
AAUUGGAGGGCAAGUCUGGUGCCAGCAGCCGCGGUAAUUCCAGCUCCAAUAGCGUAUAUUAAAGUUGUUGCAGUUAAAAAGCUCGUAGUUGAAUUUCGGGGUCAGUAGAUUGGUCGUGCCACUGGUAUGUACUGGUCUUACUGGCUCCUCCUUCCUGAUGAACCGUAAUGCCAUUAAUUUGGUGUUGCGGGGAGACUGGACUGUUACUUUGAAAAAAUUAGAGUGUUUAAAGCAGGCUCACGCUUGAAUACAUUAGCAUGGAAUAAUGAAAUAGGACGUUCGAUCUUAUUUUGUUGGUUUCUAGGAUUGACGUAAUGAUUAAUAGGGAUAGUUGGGGGCAUUAGUAUUCAAUUGUCAGAGGUGAAAUUCUUGGAUUUAUUGAAGACUAACUACUGCGAAAGCAUUUGCCAAGGAUGUUUUCAUUAAUCAAGAACGAAAGUUAGGGGAUCGAAGACGAUCAGAUACCGUCGUAGUCUUAACCAUAAACUAUGCCGACUAGGGAUCGGAUGAUGUUAAUUUUUUAAUGACUCAUUCGGCGCCUUACGGGAAACCAAAGUGU